GUCCCUACCACUGGAUUUAGACAAGAUUGGAGAACCAACCAGGAACAAGAUUUCAAGCAUCGUGUUUUUGUUUUCUUGUGGAUCUAAACACUCAUAUGAGUUAAGAAAUGGUAAUACGUCUUCAGAUUUGGUGAAUGUCAUGUCUAAUUGAUAAUUUUUCUGGCGCCACUUUAACGGUGAUCACAAUUUUUUUCUUGAAACCAUGUCUCUGUGGUGAAUGUCAUGCAACAAUUUUCAUAUUCACAGACCUGAUGUGGCUUGGUUUCCUGGUUUGUAGCUGUCUGAACAUUUUAGAUCGGGUUCCACAUUUUAUUGAAGAAACGAUGUUUUUUGAUAAAUUAUAUUUUUAUGAUUUAUUUGCCAACUUUUCGUCAAGGUUUAUCUGGAGAACUCAGAAUAUCUGCGUAUCAAGAAUGUUGCAAUUAGUGUGUAGGGGCUUUUUCAGUUGAUGAAGUUUCAGCAACCAUCGACUCAUAUGGUAUGUAUCCACCUGUAUCAGAUAAAGGUUAAUGAGGUUCAACGGCACAUCUAUUAAAGAGAUGGACCGUUGGUGGAAAUAACGUCCGGACUUCAAAUGUUAUAAAGAUGAUUGGUUCUGUAAGUGUACUUUCCUUGAGAGCUAUCUCUUUAUUUGAUCCAAUUGUUGUUAUUGCAAUGUCAUUUUUUCAUUAGA
Long non-coding RNA from Papaver somniferum (opium poppy), 673 nucleotides. RefSeq lists it as uncharacterized. Lineage: Eukaryota; Viridiplantae; Streptophyta; Magnoliopsida; Ranunculales; Papaveraceae. The record is from RefSeq and is a predicted model, not a curated record. The transcript is spliced from 2 exons.